This 720-nucleotide ribosomal RNA is filed under the name uncultured Staphylococcus sp. RNAcentral's name for it is "bacterial SSU rRNA". It matches the Rfam family "Bacterial small subunit ribosomal RNA", at positions 61 to 763 of the family's 1533-position model. Lineage: Bacteria; Bacillati; Bacillota; Bacilli; Caryophanales; Staphylococcaceae. The record is from RNAcentral.
GUCGAGCGAACAGACGAGGAGCUUGCUCCUCUGACGUUAGCGGCGGACGGGUGAGUAACACGUGGAUAACCUACCUAUAAGACUGGGACAACUUCGGGAAACCGGAGCUAAUACCGGAUAAUAUAUUGAACCGCAUGGUUCAAUAGUGAAAGACGGUUUUGCUGUCACUUAUAGAUGGAUCCGCGCCGCAUUAGCUAGUUGGUAAGGUAACGGCUUACCAAGGCAACGAUGCGUAGCCGACCUGAGAGGGUGAUCGGCCACACUGGAACUGAGACACGGUCCAGACUCCUACGGGAGGCAGCAGUAGGGAAUCUUCCGCAAUGGGCGAAAGCUUGACGGAGCAACGCCGCGUGAGUGAUGAAGGUCUUCGGAUCGUAAAACUCUGUUAUUAGGGAAGAACAAAUGUGUAAGUAACUAUGCACGUCUUGACGGUACCUAAUCAGAAAGCCACGGCUAACUACGUGCCAGCAGCCGCGGUAAUACGUAGGUGGCAAGCGUUAUCCGGAAUUAUUGGGCGUAAAGCGCGCGUAGGCGGUUUUUUAAGUCUGAUGUGAAAGCCCACGGCUCAACCGUGGAGGGUCAUUGGAAACUGGAAAACUUGAGUGCAGAAGAGGAAAGUGGAAUUCCAUGUGUAGCGGUGAAAUGCGCAGAGAUAUGGAGGAACACCAGUGGCGAAGGCGACUUUCUGGUCUGUAACUGACGCUGAUGUGCGAAAGCGUG